Molecule: ribosomal RNA, 497 nt
Filed under: uncultured bacterium
Lineage: Bacteria
Description: partial 16S ribosomal RNA
Rfam family: Bacterial small subunit ribosomal RNA
Source: RNAcentral
GAUGAACGCUGGCGGCGUGCCUAAUACAUGCAAGUCGAGCGAACAGACGAGGAGCUUGCUCCUCUGACGUUAGCGGCGGACGGGUGAGUAACACGUGGAUAACCUACCUAUAAGACUGGGAUAACUUCGGGAAACCGGAGCUAAUACCGGAUAAUAUAUUGAACCGCAUGGUUCAAUAGUGAAAGACGGUUUUGCUGUCACUUAUAGAUGGAUCCGCGCCGCAUUAGCUAGUUGGUAAGGUAACGGCUUAUCAAGGCAACGAUGCGUAGCCGACCUGAGAGGGUGAUCGGCCACACUGGAACUGAGACACGGUCCAGACUCCUACGGGAGGCAGCAGUAGGGAAUCUUCCGCAGUGGGCGAAAGCCUGACGGAGCAACGCCGCGUGAGUGAUGAAGGUCUUCGGAUCGUAAAACUCUGUUAUUAGGGAAGAACAAAUGUGUAAGUAACUAUGCACGUCUUGACGGUACCUAAUCAGAAAGCCACGGCUAACUACGUG